CAAAGAGGAACAAAGACUAGAAUCGCGACAUCGUGUCGCGACGUCUUUGCCACCGCAUCCAUGCGGA
Molecule: small RNA, 67 nt
Filed under: Lysinibacillus odysseyi 34hs-1 = NBRC 100172
Lineage: Bacteria; Bacillati; Bacillota; Bacilli; Caryophanales; Bacillaceae
Description: Bacillaceae-1 RNA
Rfam family: Bacillaceae-1 RNA
Source: Rfam by way of RNAcentral